CCCCUGCCCGGCCGCGGCGGGAACCCGGGCAGCAGCUGCCCUCAGCCUUGCCGCAGCCUCGCCCAGACACCUUUUCAUGGCCCUCCCCUCCACCUCCUGUUUUGGAGGUUGCCUCGCUCCAUUGCCCUCCGGGCGCCGCUCGGAAGCCCCACAUUCCCGGCAUAAGCAAUAACGGGGGUCCGGUUGCAGCCGGGGGGUAUGCCCAUAUGCAAUACACGCUCGCGCGCGCGCGCGCGCUCUCGCCGGUACACCCUGGGGCAUUGCACAGUUGCAAAAUGGAUUGUGUUUGCUUCCUCUUCCAAAAGGGCUUGGCCAGGCGGCCGGCUGGACUGCAGAUGUCUCUUCCAGGCUCCCGGAGAGCUCUCCUCCCAGCUGCCGUCUGCCUGCAAAACCUCCCACAACCCCACCCAGACCCUGGACUAGGGCCAACCAGCAUUUAUUAAACACCUUUUGAAUGCUCCCAGGCUGCUUCUGGCAAGAGAAGCAGGAGCCCCUAGCUCUGGGCUUAACUGUUAACGUUUAACCGGCUGGAAAAGCCCUUCCUUUCACCUUUCACCUUGGAGUCCCGUAGGUCCAGUCGCCAAGCCUUUUCUCCUGCCCUGCCCUACCCUGCCCAGAGCCAAGCACGAGACCAUGUGGCUGGGUUUGUGAGGGCCAUAAAGGCAGGAAAGCAAUGCCCUCUGUCCCUGAGGCUCCAAUGCCCUCCCUUCUUGGGAAAGCCCCCCCACCCCCCGAAAACAUCUGAAGAAGCAUCCUGGGAAGGAGGGGGUUGCUUAGAAAUCUUGCAACAUUUAAAAGGAUACCAAGGCUGGGGGAAAGCCAGCACAGUCCUCCAGCUCUGGGACUCUGGGCCUCCCAGGGUGGGUCGGGCUGGAUGGAAGGUGGGGAAGGUUUCAACAGGUACAGACAGCAAGAAGGACUAGGGUUAGACAUGAGCAAGGACUUGCCAUGCGUCUAACUAGAGUGGACUUCUGCCCUGUAAGCCUUGCUGGGCGAGGGGGACCUGGGUGGUUAGAGAGGACCCUUUGGUUCUGGGGCUGCCUGGGAAUGUGGGGGUGCUGACUAGUUAUUUGGGGUGAGGACAGGGAUCCUAGUUCCCUGGCCUAGAUCUUCCAGGAUCAUUGAUGGGGGAACAGGGGUUUCAGAAAGGGAGACUUAGAAGGGAGGGAGAGAAGGAUCAGGAAAGGGAAUCAGAGUGGGGCUGGGGAAGGGAGGAGGCAGGGAAUGGAGGUUUGAGAGACACAAGUCUGGGGCAGGGGGGCUCAGAAGUGACUGGCUGGGGCUGGAUUGGAGACUAAAGUUAGAAGAUCUGCUGCAGAUCCCAGACCCUCGAGUAGGUCCCACCCCAGGCGGCUGCCCUGCCCCCUGCCCAGCUCCACUGGCCAUGCACCCCCUGGGGCCCCGCCUGCAAGUGGGGGUAGUCGAGGUCCAGAUCCGCCCCCCUGACCCCUGCCCGUGGCCCCGCGGUGACAUUUGACCUUGUGGCGGCUGAGGUCCAGGGACAAAGAGGUCUGGGCCCAUCUGCCGCGGGGGCACCCGUGGGAACAGCCAGACCCCGCUCUGGGAGGCCUGGGAACCAGCCCCCGCCCCCUCCUCCGGCGCAAACUCCUUCCCCACCCCCCAACAGGUGACCUUGUCUCCUUUUGCCCCCUCCCCCACGGGCUACCAGGUGGGACUGGGGGCUAAGGUCGUUCUUGGACUCUCGGGAGGUGAGGAGAAGGACAAGAAGGUUGAUAAGGUUGGCUCCUCUGCCCAGCGCACGGGCGACAUUGCCCGCCUCAGUUUCCCUGCUGUCUUCCAAGCCUGCCUCCGUCCAGAGAGAGUGCUCAGGGGUCUGAAGGUCAGCAGCCCCAGCACUCCCUGAGGCCUCUGUGGAUCAGGAGGACCGGGUGCCGGCCAGGUGGCUGACUGACGCUGACCUCAGGCCUGUUUUGCCUUCCCGAGAGGCGGUCACCCAACACACACCAGCACAGAAAUGGAAGCCGAGGCUUGGCCAGAGACAGCCAGCCAGCAGGGUACUGCUCUCCCUCCUGGGUCCAGCAGAGCCG
This is a long non-coding RNA of Myotis brandtii (Brandt's bat), 2048 nucleotides long. RefSeq lists it as uncharacterized. The transcript is spliced from 3 exons. The record is from RefSeq and is a predicted model, not a curated record. NCBI's taxonomy places the organism in Eukaryota, Metazoa, Chordata, Mammalia, Chiroptera, Vespertilionidae.